UCAGUAUAUAUUUUAAUUUAAAAUAUUAAUUUUGGAAAUUAAUGAUAAUAUAUUUAUAUUUAUGCUGAA
RNAcentral lists this transfer RNA (69 nucleotides) under Nurudea shiraii. Its description in RNAcentral is "tRNA-Pro". The record is from RNAcentral. Lineage: Eukaryota; Metazoa; Arthropoda; Insecta; Hemiptera; Aphididae.